CCUACGGGGGGCUGCAGUGAGGAAUAUUGGUCAAUGGCCGAGAGCCUGAACCAGCCAAGUCGCGUGCGGGAUGACGGCCCUACGGGUUGUAAACUUCUUUUGUACGGGAGCAAAGCGCCUUACGCGUCCGGCCUCGCGUGUACCCUGUGAAUAAGGACCGGCUAAUUCCGUGCCAGCAGCCGCGGUAAUACGGAGGGUCCGGGCGUUAUCCGGAUUUAUUGGGGUUAAAGGGGGCGUAGGCCGGAUGGCAAGGCUGCGGUGAAAUGGGAGGGCUCAACCCCGGCCCGGCAGUGGGAACUGGGGUGCUUGAGUGGGCGGAAAGAAGGCGGAAUGCGUGGUGUAGCGGUGAAAUGCAUAGAUAUGACGAAGAACCCCGAUUGCGAAGGCAGCG
RNAcentral lists this ribosomal RNA (391 nucleotides) under uncultured bacterium. RNAcentral describes it as "partial 16S ribosomal RNA". It matches the Rfam family "Bacterial small subunit ribosomal RNA", at positions 338 to 726 of the family's 1533-position model. The record is from RNAcentral.